Molecule: regulatory RNA element, 105 nt
Rfam family: Gammaprotebacteria rimP leader
Source: Rfam
UUAUAAGGAAGAAAAAUAAAGGUUCAGUGAAACCCAAAUUUUUAGAUUUGGGUUUUUUUGUACGUAAAAUUUGGAUAUUUACACUGGGCUUUAAGCCCUUUUUUU